AUUGAACGCUGGCGGUAGGCCUAACACAUGCAAGUCGAACGGCAGCACAGUAAGAGCUUGCUCUUACGGGUGGCGAGUGGCGGACGGGUGAGGAAUACAUCGGAAUCUACUUUUUCGUGGGGGAUAACGUAGGGAAACUUACGCUAAUACCGCAUACGACCUACGGGUGAAAGCAGGGGAUCUUCGGACCUUGCGCGAUUGAAUGAGCCGAUGUCGGAUUAGCUAGUUGGCGGGGUAAAGGCCCACCAAGGCGACGAUCCGUAGCUGGUCUGAGAGGAUGAUCAGCCACACUGGAACUGAGACACGGUCCAGACUCCUACGGGAGGCAGCAGUGGGGAAUAUUGGACAAUGGGCGAAAGCCUGAUCCAGCCAUACCGCGUGGGUGAAGAAGGCCUUCGGGUUGUAAAGCCCUUUUGUUGGGGAAGAAAAGCAGCAGGUUAAUACCCCGCUGUUCUGACGGUACCCAAAGAAUAAGCACCGGCUAACUUCGUG
Molecule: ribosomal RNA, 492 nt
Filed under: uncultured bacterium
Lineage: Bacteria
Description: partial 16S ribosomal RNA
Rfam family: Bacterial small subunit ribosomal RNA
Source: RNAcentral